UUUCCGGUUGAUCCUGCCGGACCUGACUGCUAUCGGAUUGAUACUAAGCCAUGCGAGUCUUUGCAGUAAUGCAAGGCAUACGGCUCAGUAACACGUAGUCAACUUACCCUAUGGACGAGGAUAAUCUCGGGAAACUGAGCAUAAUACUCGAUAGAUCAUAAUGCCUGGAAUGGUUUAUGGUUGAAAUGAUUCGUCGCCAUAGGAUGGGACUGCGGCCUAUCAGCUUGUUGGUGAGGUAAUGGCCCACCAAGGCGAUUACAGGUACGGGCUCUGAGAGGAGAAGCCCGGAGAUGGGUACUGAGACAAGGACCCAGGCCCUAUGGGGCGCAGCAGGCGAGAAAACUUUGCAAUGUGCGAAAGCACGACAAGGUUAAUCCGAGUGAUUUCUGCUAAAGAAAUCUUUUGCAAGUCAUAAAACCACUAGUGAAUAAGGGGUGGGCAAGUUCUGGUGUCAGCCGCCGCGGUAAAACCAGCACCUCAAGUGGUCAGGAGGAUUAUUGGGCCUAAAGCAUCCGUAGCCGGCUCUGUAAGUUUUCGGUUAAAUCCAUGUGCUCAACGCAUGGGCUGCCGAAAAUACUGCAUAGCUAGGGAGUGGGAGAGGUAGACGGUACUCGGUAGGAAGGGGUAAAAUCCUUUGAUCUAUCGAUGACCACCUGUGGCGAAGGCGGUCUACCAGAACACGUUCGACGGUGAGGGAUGAAAGCUGGGGGAGCAAACCGGAUUAGAUACCCGGGUAGUCCCAGCUGUAAACGAUGCAGACUCGAUGAUGCAUUGGCAUAUAGCCAGUGCAGUGUCGCAGGGAAGCCGUUAAGUCUGCCGCCUGGGAAGUACGUA
Molecule: ribosomal RNA, 834 nt
Filed under: uncultured archaeon
Lineage: Archaea
Description: bacterial SSU rRNA
Rfam family: Archaeal small subunit ribosomal RNA
Source: RNAcentral